Molecule: long non-coding RNA, 1360 nt
Filed under: Erythranthe guttata (spotted monkey flower)
Lineage: Eukaryota; Viridiplantae; Streptophyta; Magnoliopsida; Lamiales; Phrymaceae
Description: long non-coding RNA (EGUT_LNC002640)
Source: RNAcentral
ACAUUAAUGAUGGAUUCUUAUACAAAUUCGAAAUACACAUAAAAAAGAGAAUGAGAGAGAGAGAGAGAGAGCGCACAACAUUUGAUGCUACAAGUACAACGAGGUCCGCCCUAAUGGAACUUGAGGCUGGUCAGCACAUUGUUGUUGACCGGAUCGGCCAAAUGGUCUAGAAGGUUCUGGAAGGGGCCCACACCGGUGACCAACCCUUGUAUAAAGUAUCCCAAAACAGCCAACAUAGCCAAUCUCCCAUUCUUCACUUCCUUGAGCUUCAGCUCCUUCAUCGACUUCUCGUCUUUCCCAAACCCUAACGGGUUGAAAAACGGGCCACCCGGGUAAGCGGGUUCGCCCGACCCGCUGAAGCCCUUUUCUAGGCCCAGGAAGUACUGCUUACCCAUGGAUCCAGGAUUGUACCAAUCCUGGAGCCUCCGGUGCUCGGCGAAGCCCAUUAGGGCCAUCUCGAGGACGAACAACGUGUAGCCGUCGGCCCAGUAGUUGUAUGUUCCGGCCGGGGGAAUCACCCCUGUCUGGAACCAGGGGAGAGCGGUCUCUGGUGGGAUCAGACCGGCUUUCCCCAGGAUUUCGGGGGCGAUGGCACCCGCCGCCCCCAACAUGGCGAAACGGCCGUUGAUGAUCUCCCCGUACGCUAGCCAUUUCGGCUCGAUGAACCCUCCGGUGCCUUCUGGGUCGGAUAGGCCCAACGGGUCGAAUCCGAAGUCACCUGGGAGGCUGAGAAAGUAAUGAUUUGUUAUUUUUGUUUUGGGAAAAUUGUAAUUUUACAUGCAAUAAGUUUACAGAGCUAUCAUUUUUGGUCCUAUUUAAAAUAUUCGUCAUAUUCUAUCAAGGCCAAAAUUAAAUGUCAAAUUUAUAAAUUUUAAUCGUCUAUAUAAGCAAGACCCGUCAAAUUUAUCUGUUGCGUCAUAAAAUUUAAAAAUCAUGCGAAAUAGGACCAAAAAUACUAUACUUGUAAAGUUAUUGCAUGUAAAAUAGAAACAUGGUAAAUUAGAGGACUAAAUCCAUAAUCAUACCGAUUCUUUUCCCUAUUAUUUUCAUUGUAAGAAUUUCGAAUUAAAUAAUAAUAAAAAAAAUCAGAGGCAAGAGAGUUUAAAUUAAUUACCUGCCAUCCAAGUAGGAAAGGCUCUGCUUAGAUGCAAACCAUAGGGGCCUGUUACCUCCUUGCUGAAACAAUAACAAAAUAAAAUAAAAUAUUAAUCAUAAUUUUCAUGCAUUAAAAAAAAACAUUAUUCAGACAAUAUGUCUGAAAAAUAAUUAAUAAGAAGGGUAUUUUAGUAUUUAUUAUGUUAUUUUUAUAAUCUAUCCAUAUUUACUGACUAUCUGAAUAUACGCGCAACUACCCAAAACU